UACGUAGGGUCCGAGCGUUGUCCGGAAUUACUGGGCGUAAAGAGCUCGUAGGUGGUUUUGUCGCGUUGUUCGUGAAAAACUCACAGCUCAACUGUGGGCGUGCGGGCGAUACGGGGCAGACUAGAGUACUGCAGGGGGAGACUGGAAUUCCUGGUGUAGCGGUGGAAUGCGCAGAUAUCAGGAGGAACACCGGUGGCGAAGGCGGUUAGCUGGGGCAGUUGCUGACACUGAGGCGCGACAGCGUGGGGGGAGCAAAACAGG
Molecule: ribosomal RNA, 261 nt
Filed under: uncultured bacterium
Lineage: Bacteria
Description: partial 16S ribosomal RNA
Rfam family: Bacterial small subunit ribosomal RNA
Source: RNAcentral